AUUGAACGCUGGCGGUAGGCCUAACACAUGCAAGUCGAACGCGAAAGUCCUUCGGAUGAGUAGAGUGGCGGACGGGUGAGUAACGCGUAGGAAUCUAUCCUGUAGUGGGGGAGUAACGUUUCGAAAGGAACGCUAAUACCGCAUACGCCCCAACGGGGGAAAGCGGGGGAGUCUUCGGACCUCGUGCUAUAGGAGGAGCCUGCGUCGGAUUAGCUAGUUGGUGAGGUAAAGGCUCACCAAGGCGACGAUCCGUAGCUGGUCUGAGAGGAUGAUCAGCCACACCGGAACUGAGACACGGUCCGGACUCCUACGGGAGGCAGCAGUGGGGAAUAUUGCGCAAUGGGCGAAAGCCUGACGCAGCCAUACCGCGUGUGUGAAGAAGGCCUUCGGGUUGUAAAGGUACACUUUCUACGUGGGGUAGGGAAAGGAAC
RNAcentral lists this ribosomal RNA (431 nucleotides) under uncultured bacterium. RNAcentral's name for it is "bacterial SSU rRNA". It matches the Rfam family "Bacterial small subunit ribosomal RNA", at positions 29 to 459 of the family's 1533-position model. The record is from RNAcentral.